RNAcentral lists this ribosomal RNA (251 nucleotides) under uncultured prokaryote. RNAcentral's name for it is "partial 16S rRNA". It matches the Rfam family "Bacterial small subunit ribosomal RNA", at positions 525 to 775 of the family's 1533-position model. The record is from RNAcentral.
ACGGAGGAUGCAAGCGUUAUCCGGAUUUAUUGGGUUUAAAGGGUGCGCAGGCGGAAAAAUAAGUCAGUGGUGAAAUCCUGCAGCUUAACUGUAGAAUUGCCGUUGAUACUGUUAUUCUUGAGUGUGGUCAAGGUAGGCGGAAUGUGUAAUGUAGCGGUGAAAUGCUUAGAUAUUACACAGAACACCGAUUGCGAAGGCAGCUUACUGGGCCAUUACUGACGCUCAUGCACGAAAGCGUGGGGAUCGAACAG